AGACUCCUCCAUUUGCUACUUCUGUGGCCCUGCAGAGACUCAGUUUCCUCACCUAUAAAAGGUCAUCAGAUUAUGGGACUUCAUACAUCAAACUCAAUUUACAGCCUGGCAUCACCACAGUGAUUGACAACUUCUACAUAUGCCCUACAAACAAGAGAAAGGGUCCAUUUUCUAUAUCUGUUUGAGGAAGUUUGGGAAAGAAAAGCCACCACCCUACUCCCUAUGACUCUACCAUCUUGGCUCUGCUUCUUUCCAUGAACUCCUAGUCUGCUCUCCCUAAUUGGCCACAAACUCAUCUAUAAGGGUUCAUCUAUGUUCAGGAGAUCAUAAAAAGGAUGAUCUCAAUGGAUUAUGAAUGAGAAGGCACAUUAGAGAAUACUUUCUU
This 385-nucleotide long non-coding RNA is filed under the name Monodelphis domestica (gray short-tailed opossum). RNAcentral's name for it is "lncRNA (ENSMODG00000043986.1)". Lineage: Eukaryota; Metazoa; Chordata; Mammalia; Didelphimorphia; Didelphidae. The record is from RNAcentral.